Molecule: ribosomal RNA, 225 nt
Filed under: Rhizopogon sp.
Lineage: Eukaryota; Fungi; Basidiomycota; Agaricomycetes; Boletales; Rhizopogonaceae
Description: partial large subunit ribosomal RNA
Rfam family: Bacterial large subunit ribosomal RNA (bases 38-225)
Source: RNAcentral
CUCCAUUGAAUUUUAUUAAUCUCUUUUGUGGUGGCAAAAAAUCGGAAGCCCCGACUGUUUACUAAAAACACAGCUAUCUGCAACGAUGUAAAUCAUAGUAUAGGUAGUGAGGUUUGCCCGAUGCCAUUAAUAUAAGAGAAGUGAUGGGUAACUGUUAAUUAUCGAAAAUCUGGUUAAUAGCGGUCUUAACUAUGAGGAUCCUAAGGUAGCAAAAUAAAUUGGCCA